CCACUGACGAUGAGUUGUGCUUACUCAUUCCAACAUUGAUGGAUGUGUUAUUCCUUUCCUCAAGGACUCUCUAGUCUGCAGAAAAAGUGGAGGAGAAUAAUUCUGUCUUCAGAAUAACUAUUUAUUUCAGCUGGAUUCUAUUCAGCUGAAAUCCUCAAGAUAGCAAAUCCUCAAGAGGAGGCAAUGAUCUGCUCAGGUCCC
This 201-nucleotide long non-coding RNA is filed under the name Bos taurus (domestic cattle). Its description in RNAcentral is "long non-coding RNA NONBTAT013738". Lineage: Eukaryota; Metazoa; Chordata; Mammalia; Artiodactyla; Bovidae. The record is from RNAcentral.